UAUCUCCUGCCUGAUAUCAAAAGAUAAAGCCCCUUGCAACAUUAUUAAAAUGUAUACAUCCCAAACCUGUCAAUGAGUGGCAGGGGGUGGCAGUGCCUGUCAUAUCUCUGCUUUUGGAAAAGAUCAGAACUCUGAUGGCACAGCCAUACUUCAGUUUCCAUGGCAGACCUCAGACAAGAUGUUCCCCAGGAGAGUUUUUUGAUAUCACCAUUUUUCAGAGAAUGGACUUCAUUCUAUUGGAGAUCCCAUCUCAGGCAGCCUAAAGUGAUUAUGGAGCAGCAGUGCAGCAGCAGCAUUAUUGCUGUGGGAGUGCUGAUGCUCUUGGUUGCAGUUCUCUCCCCAUGGGAAGACUUGUCUGCUUCUGAGUGCAGCCUUAAUUACAAAGCUGGAAUUACAUCCUACUAGUGAUGAAAAAAUUUUUUUGGCUGAGAAACUCUACAUUGGUAGACCUUCUGUCACAGCUGUCAAACACAAGGAGAGAAAAGGAAUUAUUUGCAGAAUCACAGGAUGGAUAAUGCAAUGAUGCCAUUAUUUGAGUGCUCAAGGAUGUUCUACCUGAUGAAGAAAAUCCAGACAGCAUUUCUUUUAUAAACUCCAUGUCUUUCUCUUUUAAAUGUUCCAUUUUCACCUACUAUGAAGAGACAACAAGCGCAUUUAUCCAGCCUGAAAGAUGAAGCCACAGGCAGAACAACCAAUUUUCUAUUCUCAUGUAAUCAGUUUUCCAGCUUCAAUUUUAAUUUGAUGGGAAAUACAAAAAAAAUUUGGAGCAGUUUGCACUAACUCAGCUGUAAUCAGAAAUACUGAUUUUUGGCUGAUUUCAAUGCUUGUGCUUACUUGUGGUUCCCUCAAAGACCUGAAAAAUAAAAAUAAAUAUAUUUUAGCAGCUUUU
Lonchura striata (white-rumped munia) is the source of this 889-nucleotide non-coding RNA. The record is from RefSeq and is a predicted model, not a curated record. NCBI's taxonomy places the organism in Eukaryota, Metazoa, Chordata, Aves, Passeriformes, Estrildidae.